GAUGAACGCUAGCGGCAGGCUUAACACAUGCAAGUCGAGGGGUAUAGGGAGCUUGCUUCCUAGAGACCGGCGCACGGGUGCGUAACGCGUAUGCAAUCUACCUUUUGCAGAGGAUAGCCCAGAGAAAUUUGGAUUAAUACCUCAUAGUAUAGCAGUUUCGCAUGAAACCACUAUUAAAGUCACAACGGCAAAAGAUGAGCAUGCGUCCCAUUAGCUUGUUGGUAAGGUAACGGCUUACCAAGGCAACGAUGGGUAGGGGUCCUGAGAGGGAGAUCCCCCCANACUGGUACUGAGACACGGACCAGACUCCUACGGGAGGCAGCAGUGAGGAAUAUUGGACAAUGGGCGCAAGCCUGAUCCAGCCAUGCCGCGUGCAGGAUGACGGUCCUAUGGAUUGUAAACUGCUUUUAUACAGGAAGAACACUACUUCGUGAAGUAGCUUGACGGUACUGUAAGAUAAGGAUCGGCUAACUCGU
This 476-nucleotide ribosomal RNA is filed under the name uncultured bacterium. Its description in RNAcentral is "bacterial SSU rRNA". It matches the Rfam family "Bacterial small subunit ribosomal RNA", at positions 28 to 505 of the family's 1533-position model. The record is from RNAcentral.